Molecule: ribosomal RNA, 497 nt
Filed under: uncultured bacterium
Lineage: Bacteria
Description: partial 16S ribosomal RNA
Rfam family: Bacterial small subunit ribosomal RNA
Source: RNAcentral
GAUGAACGCUGGCGGCGUGCCUAAUACAUGCAAGUCGAGCGAACGGACGAGAAGCUUACUUCUCUGAUGUUAGCGGCGGACGGGUGAGUAACACGUGGAUAACCUACCUAUAAGACUGGGAUGACUUCGGGAAACCGGAGCUAAUACCGGAUAAUAUUUUGAACCGCAUGGUUCAAAAGUGAAAGACGGUCUUGCUGUCACUUAUAGAUGGAUCCGCGCUGCAUUAGCUAGUUGGUAAGGUAACGGCUUACCAAGGCAACGAUGCAUAGCCGACCUGAGAGGGUGAUCGGCCACACUGGAACUGAGACACGGUCCAGACUCCUACGGGAGGCAGCAGUAGGGAAUCUUCCGCAAUGGGCGAAAGCCUGACGGAGCAACGCCGCGUGAGUGAUGAAGGUCUUCGGAUCGUAAAACUCUGUUAUUAGGGAAGAACAUAUGUGUAAGUAACUGUGCACAUCUUGACGGUACCUAAUCAGAAAGCCACGGCUAACUACGUG